This 253-nucleotide ribosomal RNA is filed under the name uncultured bacterium. RNAcentral describes it as "partial 16S ribosomal RNA". It matches the Rfam family "Bacterial small subunit ribosomal RNA", at positions 524 to 776 of the family's 1533-position model. The record is from RNAcentral.
UACGUAGGGUGCAAGCGUUGUCCGGAAUUAUUGGGCGUAAAGAGCUCGUAGGCGGUCUGUCGCGUCUGCUGUGAAAAUCCGGGGCUCAACCCCGGACUUGCAGUGGGUACGGGCAGACUAGAGUGUGGUAGGGGAGACUGGAACUCCUGGUGUAGCGGUGAAAUGCGCAGAUAUCAGGAGGAACACCGAUGGCGAAGGCAGGUCUCUGGGCCACUACUGACGCUGAGAAGCGAAAGCAUGGGGAGCGAACAGG